UUGUGGAGGAGGACGCCGAAGGUGGGGCUAAUGACUGGGGUGAAGUCGUAACAAGGUAGCCGUACCGGAAGGUGCGGCUGGAUCACCUCCUAACAGGGAGACAACAAAAUGUUAAAUAUUAAUUUUGUCACCUUAGGUCGAUCGGUAUCUCACAUUCUUAAUUUAUUAAGAAUUUUAUUUCCUAAGUUUUUCUAGGUCACACCCAUUAUUUUCCUGGGCCAUUAGCUCAGGUGGUUAGAGCGCACCCCUGAUAAGGGUGAGGUCCCUGGUUCAAGUCCAGGAUGGCCCAUAUCUCUAUGUUGGGGGUAUAGCUCAGUUGGUAGAGCGCCUGCUUUGCAAGCAGGAUGUCAGCGGUUCGAGUCCGCUUACCUCCACUGAUUACCACCUCUUCCAUAAUCUAUAGAAGGGAAAUGUUUAUAGGUGUGAUCAAAUCCUGAACGAAUCUAGCUUCCUAAUUAUCUUUAUUAAGAUGCUGGACUCAUUGAAAUUUUUUUCAUUGUUUUCAGAGAACCUUGACAACUGCAUAGAUUAUUUUUAAAGACAAUAAGCAUCUUUAAUGAUGCAGAUUUAUUAUUUGUGCGAAUGCAUUAAAUAACAAUUCUAUUAAGCUGAUGCUUCAGUUUUGAAGUUAUUGGUCAAGCUACAA
RNAcentral lists this unclassified non-coding RNA (646 nucleotides) under uncultured Prochlorococcus sp. RNAcentral describes it as "partial 16S-23S ribosomal RNA intergenic spacer; may also contain 16S ribosomal RNA and 23S ribosomal RNA". The stretch from base 302 to 374 matches the Rfam family "tRNA". The record is from RNAcentral. Lineage: Bacteria; Bacillati; Cyanobacteriota; Cyanophyceae; Synechococcales; Prochlorococcaceae.